GCAGGACUCAGGCUAUUUCCUUUCCAUUUGAUAUCUGUGUGAUGUGAGCAUCAUGCUGCUCUUUUAAGGAUUUAAUCCAGGUUAUACAGGGCUCUUUUGCUUUGAAAAUGAGAUGGUUUAUAGAAUUUUUUCCACUUCCAAAUAAAUUAAUAGGUGUGUAGCCACUUAUUAGCUAGGUCGAGAAGUUUUUAUUCAAAAUAAUUUUGAAAGUUUCAGUCUGGUAAAAACGUCUUUCCCAUUUGAUGUAUACAUGUAUAGUGAAAGUUUACUUGUAAAGAUGCUCAUCGUUUCAUGUAAUCAAACGAAUAUUUACGUGGUAACUCUCCAAGAGAUGUGUAGGAUUUUCAUUGUCUUGUGCCCAUUAAAAUCAUCAACUGAAAUGGAACAGAUAAAUAAGCGGUGGAAGAUGCUAGGAGGUAAUUUGCUUUGGAACUUGCAUAGGUUCUUAAUAACAUAACGCAUUGAUAGGAAAGCAUCUGGAGAAACGUGUUACUGAACUCAAGUCCAUGUGGCAGACCCACAGUGAGACCAAACAGUAUUGAAAUGUUGGAGUUUGGAGCAGAGAAAGAUUUAUUGAAGGGCUGUGCAUGGAGACUGGUGGCUUGUGCCCAAAAAGCCCCAAACUCCCUGAAGGCUUUCAGGAAAGCUCUUCGAAAGGCAAGGUGAGGGAGGGCCCUGGUUAACUGUUGCAAAUUUCUCAGGCAUCCGAUCCUUUCUUCUUGUAGCUGUCCACAUAGGUCAGGUCAUGUCAUGAUGGUCCUGUAAACCUCCAACAAAACCAAUGUUAUUCUCUGUUCUGCAACUUUUUAUCUAAAACUGUAAUAGUCUUAAAGGCCAUAGACUUAAGAAUAGGCUAUCCUAUAUAUUUCAAGCUGUAGGCAGCAUCCUUUUGUAAAAGGUGCAGAGCCAGGAUGAUUAAGCACAAGUGACAGAGGACAAAGAUUAAAGUAAGGUUAAAAUAAAAGGAACAGGUCUAGGAGUUCCCGAUGUGGCUCAGUGGGUUAAGAAUCCAUCUAGUAUCCAUGAGGAUGUGGGUUUGAUGCCUGGCCUUGCUCAGUGGGUUAAGGAUCCGGUGUUGUCGCAAGCUGCCAAGUAGAUUGCUGAUGCAGCUUGGAUCUGGUGUUGCUGUUGCAUAGGCCAGCAUCUGCAGCCUUGAAUCAACCCCUAGUUGUGAACUUCCAUGUGCCGCAGGUGCGGCCCUAAAAUUAAAAAAAUUAAAAAUAAAAAUAAAUUUUUUUAAAGAAACAGGUCUAACAUCGAGUCAGAUUUUUUCUUUCCUAUUACAAACUUAUAGGUAGAACAUUUUGAGUUCUGCAGAACUCAGCUUGCCUGGUAAGUCAAGGAAAUUUCAAACAGGAAGAAAAAUAUUUCUGAGCCAUAGAGAUAAAUUCUGAGGGAAGCUAAAAUUUGUUGGUUGAAGUAAAGUGGUGUUAAGUAAUUUUCAUGUGGAUUUCUAUAGAAUUUUUCUCACUUAUUUCUCUUGAACCUUGGAAACCAUCCCCAAAAUGGUGUUAAAUUGGGAAAAUGUUAGAAAUAAUUGAAUGUGUGAUUAAAUUGACCUCAAAGCUACUGAUGGGGAGUCCGGUUAUUGCUCAGCAGAAAUGAAUCUGACUGGUAUCCAUGAGGAUGCAGGUUCCAUCCCCGGCCUUGCUUAUGGGUUAAGGAUCCGACGUUGCCGUGAGCUGUGGUGUAAGUCGCAGAUGUGGCUCGGAUCCUGCAUUGCUGUGGCUCUGGCAUAGGCCGGCGUCUACAGCUUGGAUUCAAUCCCUAGCCUGGGAACCUCCAUAUGCUCCCAGAGCGGCCCAAGAAAUGGCAAAAAGAAAAAAAAAAAAAUUAAGCAAAAGGUACAAAGAGAUUAUCAUACAAAGUGAAGUAAGUCAGAGAAAGACAAAUACCAUAUAUUACCUAUAUGUGGAAUCUAAAAAAAGAACUUACUUACAAACCAGAAAUAGAUUCACAGACAUGGAAAACAAACUUACAUUUACCAAAAGGAAUAGUAGGGGUGGGGGAAAAUUAAUUAGAAGUUUGCAAUUAAAAUAUACACACUACUAUAUAUAAAAUAGAUAACAAAGAAUUACUGUAUAGCACAGGGAACUAUACUCAAUAUCUCUUAAUAACCUACAAGGGAAAAGAAUCUAAAUAAGAAAGAGGCCUGGGUCACUGCUGUGACACAGUUUCAGUCCCUGGUCUGAGAACUUCCACAUGCCACAGGUACAG
Molecule: long non-coding RNA, 2217 nt
Filed under: Sus scrofa (pig)
Lineage: Eukaryota; Metazoa; Chordata; Mammalia; Artiodactyla; Suidae
Description: lncRNA (ENSSSCG00055008482.1, ENSSSCG00065014607.1)
Source: RNAcentral